This 781-nucleotide long non-coding RNA is filed under the name Hordeum vulgare. RNAcentral describes it as "long non-coding RNA (HVUL_LNC014457)". Lineage: Eukaryota; Viridiplantae; Streptophyta; Magnoliopsida; Poales; Poaceae. The record is from RNAcentral.
UCAGCACUAAUAUUUUCAAAUAGUGCUGGUGUGGGUUAAAUUCGUAUGACAUAGCUAUUAGCAUAGUGUUGACGUUGAACAUAUGUGGAACACCAUUUAUAUGUGGACUCCAAUGUUGUGUGCAGGCGUAAAUUACUAUUGGCGUACUAGGUGCCGACAGCAUUUGCUAUAUCUAUGCAUGGCAUAGGACUUUUCCAGACGCCAACAAUAUAUUUUGUGGUCUAUUUUUCUAUGUCAACUUUUGGACCCACAUAACACCGACUUAGCGUACAAUGGGACUCCAGGAGUAUACAUAUUAGUUCUGGCAUUGAAUUGUCUGGCGAUGCCAGUACUAAAGUCGGAGCGCUUCCCACCACUUGGCCCCCCUUGGGGAUACAACUAGUAUAUUCCAUUCUUCUUCCUCUUGCUCUUCAUCUUCCUCAUCUCUCUUUCCUACUCAUCUUGAGAAGAAAUCCAAUUAUUCUAGCAUGAUUCUUAAUUAGGUAGCUAAAUAUGGAUAUACAAAACCGCCGAGACGACUUCGAUAGAGUGCACAUAGUGGUGUUACAACAAGCAGAUAUAAUUACUCCUUGGUAGCAGACUCACAAGGACACCUUAAAGAGAGAGCAUGCAAUAGCAGGGAGGUCGGAGAGGACCGAAGCCCAGAUCAUUAGAAAGCACAACCCCAAAUUUGCAUCUUGGUUGACAAAAAGAGUGAAUUCGUACUCCUGGAGUCAUAACGCGAGCUGGGAGUAUUCGAUCAAGAUUAAAAAGACCCAAACCGUCGUUGAGAGGAUUGCCA